AACUGUGUGGUAAUUGCAGACGCAGGAGAAAGCUUUUCUUAUCAAAACAUGAAUAACGCCUUCCAGGUGCUCAUGGAGCUGGAAAAACCUGUGCUCAUAUCACUGGGAAAAGGGCGUUACUACAAGGAGACCUCUGGCCUGAUGCUGGACGUUGGUCCCUACAUGAAGGCGCUUGAGUAUGCCUGUGGCAUCAAAGCCGAGGUGGUGGGGAAGCCUUCUCCUGAGUUUUUCAAGUCUGCCCUGCAAGCGAUAGGAGUGGAAGCCCACCAGGCCGUCAUGAUUGGGGACGAUAUCGUGGGCGACGUCGGCGGUGCCCAGCGGUGUGGAAUGAGAGCGCUGCAGGUGCGCACCGGGAAGUUCAGGUCAGUGCCAGCUGGAGUCAUUUAUUCACCUUCCUUCCAGGGGAUGACCACAUUCUCAUUCUGUUUUGUUCUUCAAAAUAAAGGGGAUAUUCUUUCCAAAUCAAA
This 467-nucleotide small RNA is filed under the name Pan troglodytes (chimpanzee). RNAcentral's name for it is "processed transcript". The record is from RNAcentral. Lineage: Eukaryota; Metazoa; Chordata; Mammalia; Primates; Hominidae.